UUGGUCUAGCAAAUAUAUACAGAGAUUAAAUAUUGUGGCAAAAUCUUGUCUCCCAUAAAGCAAAAUACAAAGAAACACUAAACCAAUUUGGUCAUGCACAAACCAAACCAGAGCAAAAACUGAGAUCGUCUACUCCUCCCGUGGGUGCUACGGCGAACCAUCGCUGAGUAGGUGUCGGAGAUGGGGCGAGAUAUAAACA
Molecule: non-coding RNA, 199 nt
Organism: Arabidopsis thaliana (thale cress)
Lineage: Eukaryota; Viridiplantae; Streptophyta; Magnoliopsida; Brassicales; Brassicaceae
Source: RefSeq